RNAcentral lists this ribosomal RNA (460 nucleotides) under uncultured bacterium. RNAcentral's name for it is "partial 16S ribosomal RNA". It matches the Rfam family "Bacterial small subunit ribosomal RNA", at positions 338 to 795 of the family's 1533-position model. The record is from RNAcentral.
CCUACGGGUGGCAGCAGUGAGGAAUAUUGGUCAAUGGGCGGAAGCCUGAACCAGCCAAGUAGCGUGCAGGAUGACGGCCCUACGGUUUGUAAACUGCUUUUAUACGGGAAUAACCCGCCUUGCGUGUACGGCUUUUCAUUUACCUUUUGAUUAAGGUCCGGCUACUCCGGUCCCAGCAGCCGCGGGAAUACGGAAGGUCCGGGCGUUGUCCGGAUUUUUGGGGUUUAAGGGAAGGGUAGGCCGAAUGUCAAGCUUGCUGUGAAAUGUCCGGGCCCAACCGGGGACUUGCAGCGCGACCUGGCAGGCUGGAGUCCGGGAAAGGCAGGCGGAAUUCGUGGUGUAGCGGUGAAAUGCUUAGAUAUGACGAAGAACCCCGAUUGCGAAGGCAGCUUGCUGGAGCGGAACUGACGCUGAUGCUCGAAAGCGCGGGUAUCGAACAGGAUUAGAUACCCCAGUAGUC